ACACAAGAGAGGAGGUGGUCUGAAGAAUGUAUGUUCAUCGGAUGCGUGAGGUGGCUGCCCGCUAGCAGCUCCACUGCGGGAGAUUCCCCAGCGGUGCGCUGAGCGAAUCCCAGGCAGUCACCCGACCCCCGAGCCCCCGGACGAUCCAACCGGGAUCGCCGCGUUCCCCGGAACGCGACGAUAUGGCUCGGGGGUCGCUCCAU
This 203-nucleotide small RNA is filed under the name Nocardia asteroides NBRC 15531. Its description in RNAcentral is "Actinobacteria sRNA Ms_IGR-5". It matches the Rfam family "Actinobacteria sRNA Ms_IGR-5". The record is from Rfam by way of RNAcentral. Lineage: Bacteria; Bacillati; Actinomycetota; Actinomycetes; Mycobacteriales; Nocardiaceae.